This 312-nucleotide long non-coding RNA is filed under the name Fukomys damarensis (Damara mole-rat). Its description in RNAcentral is "lncRNA (ENSFDAG00000022290.1)". The record is from RNAcentral. Lineage: Eukaryota; Metazoa; Chordata; Mammalia; Rodentia; Bathyergidae.
CUUAAAGGUACUGACACACAAAAGAAUGUGACUGAAAUACUAAACCUCUCUCUGUCUUUGUUAUCUUCAGUCUGGGUUUGUUAGGUCAAGAAAGGUUUUGCAAGUACGGUGUAUGCUUGUGAAAGAUCCAUCAGGAAAAUCAAAGAGCCUCAUGGAACUCUGGCCGGGUGCUAGCAAUAUCUCUCAUACCCGAAGCCCUUGUGCCUGGCCCACUCACUGAUGAAUCAGCAGAACUGAUCCCUGAUGGUCUCCUCCUCCAGAGAAAGAAGAGGCAGGAUUGGCAACUAAACAGGGUGAAAGGGAAAAAGCCUG